Molecule: ribosomal RNA, 297 nt
Filed under: uncultured bacterium
Lineage: Bacteria
Description: partial 16S ribosomal RNA
Rfam family: Bacterial small subunit ribosomal RNA
Source: RNAcentral
UCCACGCAGUAAACGAUGAAUGUUAGUCGUCGGGUAGCUAGUCUAUUCGGUGAUGCAGCUAACGCAUUAAACAUUCCGCCUGGGGAGUACGGUCGCAAGAUUAAAACUCAAAGGAAUAGACGGGGACCCGCACAAGUGGUGGAGCAUGUGGUUUAAUUCGAAAAUACGCGAAGAACCUUACCUAGCCUUGACAUAUAUUAGAACAGACCAGAAAUGGACUGGUGCCUUCGGGAGCUUUUAUACAGGUGCUGCACGGCUGUCGUCAGCUCGUGUCGUGAGAUGUUGGGUUAAGUCCCG